Molecule: ribosomal RNA, 492 nt
Filed under: uncultured bacterium
Lineage: Bacteria
Description: partial 16S ribosomal RNA
Rfam family: Bacterial small subunit ribosomal RNA
Source: RNAcentral
AGUGAACGCUGGCGGUAGGCCUAACACAUGCAAGUCGAACGGCAGCACAGUAAGAGCUUGCUCUUACGGGUGGCGAGUGGCGGACGGGUGAGGAAUACAUCGGAAUCUACUUUUUCGUGGGGGAUAACGUAGGGAAACUUACGCUAAUACCGCAUACGACCUACGGGUGAAAGCAGGGGAUCUUCGGACCUUGCGCGAUUGAAUGAGCCGAUGUCGGAUUAGCUAGUUGGCGGGGUAAAGGCCCACCAAGGCGACGAUCCGUAGCUGGUCUGAGAGGAUGAUCAGCCACACUGGAACUGAGACACGGUCCAGACUCCUACGGGAGGCAGCAGUGGGGAAUAUUGGACAAUGGGCGCAAGCCUGAUCCAGCCAUACCGCGUGGGUGAAGAGGGCCUUCGGAUUGUAAAGCCCUUUUGUUGGGAAAGAAAAGCAGCAGGUUAAUACCCCGCUGUUCUGACGGUACCCAAAGAAUAAGCACCGGCUAACUUCGUG